Molecule: long non-coding RNA, 858 nt
Organism: Apis florea (little honeybee)
Lineage: Eukaryota; Metazoa; Arthropoda; Insecta; Hymenoptera; Apidae
Source: RefSeq, a predicted model, not a curated record
UUUUUUUCGCUCACACUUCCGAACUUUUUCAUUAAUUACGUGGAAAAUGGGAAAUUCGUACAUACUUGAAAAGGAAGGCGAGCAGGAGGAGAUGUAACGGAAAAUUAGAGAUGCAAGUUUUCUGAAACAACAUUGAAGGCACGCUCUAUUUCCGUGAAACUGUUCGCGUCUCUUGAACUUGUGUUGCUGAUUCUGAAAAUGGUAAUGGUUAAUUAUCUACGCGCUGUUGAAACGGUUAAAGAGUACUAUGAAAUAACCUUGACUUGAAGUUUUUUUAACGGUUUUUACAGUUACGUUUAUGAAAACACUAUCUAAAAUCGCAGACUGUGAAACGUGAAUACCAGCUCGUAUUUAAGUUGAAUUAAGUCCAAUGAUUAUUGGAAAAUAACGUAUAAAUUUUCGAUUAAUUGCUUCAUUUUUAAAUAGUAUUAUUGAUAAGUAUCGCGGUUAAAAUAAAUUCAUAUUUCUAUCUUAGAUAUAAUUAAAAGAUAGAAUUUAAUAGAGACUUUCGCUUGCUAAAUAUUUAUAUCAUUGUAGUAUUUAACAGAUUAGGCGUAAUUCUGAAAAAAAAUUUAUCGAGUUUUGAAAGUUUCUUUCGAUGUUAAACUCUCUCGAAAGUUCGACACACCAUUGUGAAACGAUGCUCACAUGCUCGGCUGUUGACCAAUGUUCUAUAAAGGAAGAAACAUUUGAAAGACGCAUUGCAUUUGAGUUGCAAUUUUACGCACAGCUGACUUCGCAGUCACCCUUUGCAGUCAGUUGGUUCCUGCCUAAAGCAACAGGUGGUCUAGCCACGUGUCGAUCCCUGGAAACGAGCAAUUUUUACAUUUUGCAAUUGCAAAAUGCUCGCUUUUUAAA